RNAcentral lists this ribosomal RNA (679 nucleotides) under Debaryomyces hansenii. RNAcentral describes it as "LSU rRNA". The stretch from base 1 to 585 matches the Rfam family "Eukaryotic large subunit ribosomal RNA", at positions 64 to 664 of the family's 3401-position model. The record is from RNAcentral. Lineage: Eukaryota; Fungi; Ascomycota; Pichiomycetes; Serinales; Debaryomycetaceae.
CCUCACGGGUAAUUGCGCUUAGUACGGCGAGUGAGCGGCAAAAGCUCAAAUUUGAAAUCUGGCACCUUCGGUGUCCGAGUUGUAAUUUGAAGAAGGUAACUUUGGAGUUGGCUCUUGUCUAUGUUCCUUGGAACAGGACGUCACAGAGGGUGAGAAUCCCGUGCGAUGAGAUGCCCAAUUCUAUGUAAAGUGCUUUCGAAGAGUCGAGUUGUUUGGGAAUGCAGCUCUAAGUGGGUGGUAAAUUCCAUCUAAAGCUAAAUAUUGGCGAGAGACCGAUAGCGAACAAGUACAGUGAUGGAAAGAUGAAAAGAACUUUGAAAAGAGAGUGAAAAAGUACGUGAAAUUGUUGAAAGGGAAGGGCUUGAGAUCAGACUUGGUAUUUUGCGAUCCUUUCCUUCUUGGUUGGGUUCCUCGCAGCUUACUGGGCCAGCAUCGGUUUGGAUGGUAGGAUAAUGACUAAGGAAUGUGGCUCUACUUCGGUGGAGUGUUAUAGCCUUGGUUGAUACUGCCUGUCUAGACCGAGGACUGCGUCUUUUGACUAGGAUGUUGGCAUAAUGAUCUUAAGCCACCCCUCUUGAACAACUGACCAAAAAAACCCGGGAAAUUGGUUAGCUUGCCGUGAAUUUCACCACCCAAAUUACCCCUCCAAUUCCAAGGAACGCGACUCUCAGAGGGGACG